AUCACCUGGGAAUCUUGUUAAAGUGCAGGUUCUGAUUCAAUAAGUCUGGGGCGGAGGCUGAGAUUCCGCAUUUGUAACAAGCUCCUAGGCGAUGCUGA
RNAcentral lists this microRNA precursor (98 nucleotides) under Loxodonta africana (African savanna elephant). RNAcentral describes it as "mir-544 microRNA precursor family". It matches the Rfam family "mir-544 microRNA precursor family". Lineage: Eukaryota; Metazoa; Chordata; Mammalia; Proboscidea; Elephantidae. The record is from Rfam by way of RNAcentral.